Molecule: ribosomal RNA, 465 nt
Filed under: uncultured bacterium
Lineage: Bacteria
Description: partial 16S ribosomal RNA
Rfam family: Bacterial small subunit ribosomal RNA
Source: RNAcentral
GACGAACGCUGGCGGCGUGCUUAACACAUGCAAGUCGAACGGAAAGGCCCUGCUUGCGGUGUACUCGAGUGGCGAACGGGUGAGUAACACGUGGGUGAUCUGCCCUGCACUUCGGGAUAAGCCUGGGAAACUGGGUCUAAUACCGGAUAGGAGCCAUUUUUAGUGUGAUGGUUGGAAAGUUUUUUCGGUGUAGGAUGAGCUCGCGGCCUAUCAGCUUGUUGGUGGGGUAAUGGCCUACCGAGGCGGCGACGGGUAGCCGGCCUGAGAGGGUGGACGGCCACAUUGGGACUGAGAGACGGCCCAGACUCCUACGGGAGGCAGAAGGGGGGAAUCUUGAACAAGGGGCGCAAGCCUGAUGCAGCGACGCCGCGUGGGGGAUGACGGCCUUAGGGUUGUAAACUCCUUUCGCUAGGGACGAAGCUUUUUGUGACGGUACCUAGAUAAGAAGCACCGGCUAACUACGUG